UGUCUCCUACAUACCUCAGAGGAUCAUGGGAGUGCAUUUCAAUAGGGCGGGGAGUGCCUCCCAGACCUCCUCUGGUGAGAGCAUCUAUAAAGCCACGGACUACAGCACUCCUUCGAGCUGUUCCGAACUCAUCCAGAGUGUACUUGUACAGAACAGGUCUAUCUUGUAAGGCUUCCAUAGCUUGAGCGAGAACUGGAGAAAUGUCACACGAUUCUUGUGUCAAAGUCCUGCACUCAUUUUGAGUCCAUCUGUAAAGUCGCUCAUAAGAUGUCUCUUGCAGUAAAGCCAUCUGUUCCAUAAUUUCCAAGCCUGCCCUUUGCUGAUUUGUCCGGAGGAGAAUCUUGACAUCAUCAUGAAUUUGCUUUACUCUUCCCAAAGCCUUGAAAAAGUCCUCGGUAAUUGGCUCAUCUUUCGUGCCUCGAAGGAGGUUCAUUUCAUCUGGUGUCAGCUGGAAUUUUGCUAUGAAUGCAUCUGCAACUUGUGCUUUCAUUUCUAGUCUCUGAUUUUCUGCUUGGAGCUUUGUGGUUUUU
RNAcentral lists this long non-coding RNA (530 nucleotides) under Gallus gallus (chicken). The record is from RNAcentral. Lineage: Eukaryota; Metazoa; Chordata; Aves; Galliformes; Phasianidae.